CGAGCGACGGACGAGAAGCUUGCUUCUCUGAUGUUAGCGGCGGACGGGUGAGUAACACGUGGAUAACCUACCUAUAAGACUGGGAUAACUUCGGGAAACCGGAGCUAAUACCGGAUAAUAUUUUGAACCGCAUGGUUCAAAAGUGAAAGACGGUCUUGCUGUCACUUAUAGAUGGAUCCGCGCUGCAUUAGCUAGUUGGUAAGGUAACGGCUUACCAAGGCAACGAUGCAUAGCCGACCUGAGAGGGUGAUCGGCCACACUGGAACUGAGACACGGUCCAGACUCCUACGGGAGGCAGCAGUAGGGAAUCUUCCGCAAUGGGCGAAAGCCUGACGGAGCAACGCCGCGUGAGUGAUGAAGGUCUUCGGAUCGUAAAACUCUGUUAUUAGGGAAGAACAUAUGUGUAAGUAACUGUGCACAUCUUGACGGUACCUAAUCAGAAAGCCACGGCUAACUACGUGCCAGCAGCCGCGGUAAUACGUAGGUGGCAAGCGUUAUCCGGAAUUAUUGGGCGUAAAGCGCGCGUAGGCGGUUUUUUAAGUCUGAUGUGAAAGCCCACGGCUCAACCGUGGAGGGUCAUUGGAAACUGGAAAACUUGAGUGCAGAAGAGGAAAGUGGAAUUCCAUGUGUAGCGGUGAAAUGCGCAGAGAUAUGGAGGAACACCAGUGGCGAAGGCGACUUUCUGGUCUGUAACUGACGCUGAUGUGCGAAAGCGUGGGGGAUCAAACAGGAUUAGAUACCCUGGUAGUCCACGCCGUAAACGAUGAGUGCUAAGUGUGAGGGGGUGUUCCGCCCCUUAUGCUGCAGCUAACGCAUUAAGCACUCCGACUGAGGGGAGUACGACGGCAACGGUGGAAACUCACAUGAAGUAAUC
RNAcentral lists this ribosomal RNA (874 nucleotides) under Staphylococcus aureus. RNAcentral describes it as "bacterial SSU rRNA". It matches the Rfam family "Bacterial small subunit ribosomal RNA", at positions 63 to 915 of the family's 1533-position model. The record is from RNAcentral. Lineage: Bacteria; Bacillati; Bacillota; Bacilli; Caryophanales; Staphylococcaceae.